This 1018-nucleotide non-coding RNA is filed under the name Tetranychus urticae (two-spotted spider mite). RNAcentral describes it as "Eukaryotic large subunit ribosomal RNA". It matches the Rfam family "Eukaryotic large subunit ribosomal RNA", at positions 24 to 664 of the family's 3401-position model. Lineage: Eukaryota; Metazoa; Arthropoda; Arachnida; Trombidiformes; Tetranychidae. The record is from Rfam by way of RNAcentral.
CCCGCCGAAUUUAAGCAUAUAAUUCAGCGGAGGAAAAGAAAUCAAAUGAGAUUCCCUGAGUAACGGCGAGUGAAAAGGGAUGAGUCCGGCGCAAAGGUUUUCCAUUGAAAGGUGGAAAGCGGUGCUGCGUAAUGGCUAGAGUCACGAUUAUUUCAACUAAAUCUGCAAGUCCCUCUGACAAGGGCCCUCUUCCCAGAGACGGUUCUAGGCCGGUGGCAGAUCUUGGUUAAUGGAAUAUCGAUUACUGGCUUUAGUCGCGGAUAGAGUCAGAUUGCUUGAGAGUGCAAUCCAAAUUAGGAGGUAAACUCCUCCUAAGACUAAAUACGAUGGUAAUAUCGAUAGCAAACAAGUACCGUGAGGGAAAGUUGCAAAGUACUUUGAAGAGAGAGUUCAAAAGGACGUGAAACCGCUUGUAGAGAAACGGAUAGAACCACGAAGUGUAGCUGAGAGGAGAACUCAGCUCCUCUUGUGUAUUGUUGCCUUUUUCUAUUCAGUGCUAAGAAUGCUUUACAGCGUUCCAAGAUCAGUAGGUUAAGGGGUAACUUUUAGCCUGCCCUUGGAUCUUGGUAUUGAUAGGAGGAGUGCAAUAUGUGCAUGAGGAGUGCAUUUUCUCAACUCUCGUGCUCAAACCACGACCAAUGUGAAGGAGAGUGCAAAACUCUUGUUCAAGUGAUAACAGCAAGGUGUACUAAACACACACCUAAUCAGCAUUUAGUUUUCACAGCUACUAAUAUUCCUUGCGUUAUUAGACUUAGCCUGUGAGCUAGUGUUGGCAACUGUUACCACAGUCACAUUGGAGAUGAAUCUCUGCUUAUGCAGGGUCAACAAUGCUUGUCAUCUGCUCUGACGAAUCCGACUAGUCUUUCGUUGAUGAUGUCUGUUUCUUCACCUGGUGUUGAAACAACUCAUGGAUUGGCUGGCUUUUGGUGGUUUGUUGGUAAAAGUGGCAAGCUUACGUUAACCUAGUGAUUCUGUGGUCAGUAGAUCGGUACUCUAUCCGACCCGUCUUGAAACACGG